Molecule: long non-coding RNA, 430 nt
Organism: Marmota monax (woodchuck)
Lineage: Eukaryota; Metazoa; Chordata; Mammalia; Rodentia; Sciuridae
Exons: 3
Source: RefSeq, a predicted model, not a curated record
UGGUUGCUCAAAACAUUACAUAGUUCUUGAUAUAUCAUAUUUCACACUUUGAUUCAAGUGGGUUAUGAACUCCCAUUUUUACCCCGUAUACAGAUUGCAGAAUCACAUCAGUUACACAUCCAUUAGGUGUUAACGUGGAAAGGCAUUUGGGGCAGCGAAUACAGGCAGGUACAGAGCACACCGCGCCCUCGGAACUGCUCACUGCUGCGGCGCUGCCGGGCCGAGGGUGAAGCAUGAUAGAGGACAUGGUGUGGAGAUGGAAUGAAGCUUCAUCUCAGUUUUCCUUUGCUCUUCUGCUUAGGGGAGCAGAGUCAAGAGUGUGCCUUGAGUCUCAGAGGAUACUUUGGUUGUGAGAUGUUUUGGCAAUGUUGAAACUGUAAAGACUAUAGGACUCUUGGAAAUGAAAUAAAUGCGUCUUGCAUGAAGCUUA